RNAcentral lists this ribosomal RNA (467 nucleotides) under uncultured bacterium. Its description in RNAcentral is "bacterial SSU rRNA". It matches the Rfam family "Bacterial small subunit ribosomal RNA", at positions 329 to 793 of the family's 1533-position model. The record is from RNAcentral.
AUCCAGACUCCUACGGGAGGCAGCAGUGAGGAAUAUUGGUCAAUGGGCGGAAGCCUGAACCAGCCAAGUCGCGUGAGGGAAUAAGGCCCUACGGGUCGUAAACCUCUUUUGCCGGGGAGCAAGGGCGGGGACGUGUCCCGGCCCGGAGAGUACCCGGAGAAAAAGCAUCGGCUAACUCCGUGCCAGCAGCCGCGGUAAUACGGAGGAUGCGAGCGUUAUCCGGAUUUAUUGGGUUUAAAGGGUGCGUAGGCGGAAGGUUAAGUCAGCGGUCAAAUGUCGGUGCUCAACGCCGGCCUGCCGUUGAAACUGGGGAUCUAGAGUGUGCGAGAGGUAUGCGGAAUGCGUGGUGUAGCGGUGAAAUGCAUAGAUAUCACGCAGAACCCCGAUUGCGAAGGCAGCAUACCGGUGCACAACUGACGCUCAGGCACGAAAGCGUGGGUAUCGAACAGGAUUAGAUACCCCGGUAG